Molecule: ribosomal RNA, 655 nt
Filed under: uncultured Actinomycetales bacterium
Lineage: Bacteria; Bacillati; Actinomycetota; Actinomycetes; Actinomycetales
Description: bacterial SSU rRNA
Rfam family: Bacterial small subunit ribosomal RNA
Source: RNAcentral
CGAACGGAAAGGCCCUGCUUGCAGGGUACUCGAGUGGCGAACGGGUGAGUAACACGUGGGUGAUCUGCCCUGCACUUCGGGAUAAGCUUGGGAAACUGGGUCUAAUACCGGAUAGGAACCAUCUUUAGUGUGGUGGUUGGAAAGUUUUUUCGGUGUAGGAUGAGCUCGCGGCCUAUCAGCUUGUUGGUGGGGUAAUGGCCUACCAAGGCGGCGACGGGUAGCCGGCCUGAGAGGGUGUACGGCCACAUUGGGACUGAGAUACGGCCCAGACUCCUACGGGAGGCAGCAGUGGGGAAUAUUGCACAAUGGGCGCAAGCCUGAUGCAGCGACGCCGCGUGGGGGAUGAAGGCCUUCGGGUUGUAAACUCCUUUCGCUAGGGACGAAGCUUUUUGUGACGGUACCUAGAUAAGAAGCACCGGCUAACUACGUGCCAGCAGCCGCGGUAAUACGUAGGGUGCGAGCGUUGUCCGGAAUUACUGGGCGUAAAGGGCUCGUAGGUGGUUUGUCGCGUCGUCUGUGAAAUUCCACAGCUUAACUGUGGGCGUGCAGGCGAUACGGGCUGACUUGAGUACUGUAGGGGUAACUGGAAUUCCUGGUGUAGCGGUGAAAUGCGCAGAUAUCAGGAGGACACCGAUGGCGAAGGCAGGUUACUGGG